This 501-nucleotide ribosomal RNA is filed under the name uncultured bacterium. RNAcentral describes it as "partial 16S ribosomal RNA". It matches the Rfam family "Bacterial small subunit ribosomal RNA", at positions 30 to 523 of the family's 1533-position model. The record is from RNAcentral.
AUUGAACGCUGGCGGCAGGCUUAACACAUGCAAGUCGAGCGGGGGAAGGUAGCUUGCUACCGGACCUAGCGGCGGACGGGUGAGUAAUGCUUAGGAAUCUGCCUAUUAGUGGGGGACAACAUCUCGAAAGGGAUGCUAAUACCGCAUACGUCCUACGGGAGAAAGCAGGGGAUCUUCGGACCUUGCGCUAAUAGAUGAGCCUAAGUCGGAUUAGCUAGUUGGUGGGGUAAAGGCCUACCAAGGCGACGAUCUGUAGCGGGUCUGAGAGGAUGAUCCGCCACACUGGGACUGAGACACGGCCCAGACUCCUACGGGAGGCAGCAGUGGGGAAUAUUGGACAAUGGGGGGAACCCUGAUCCAGCCAUGCCGCGUGUGUGAAGAAGGCCUUAUAGUUGUAAAGCACUUUAAGCGAGGAGGAGGCUACUCUAGUUAAUACCUAGGGAUAGUGGACGUUACUCGCAGAAUAAGCACCGGCUAACUCUGUGCCAGCAGCCGCAGUAA